This 918-nucleotide ribosomal RNA is filed under the name uncultured archaeon. Its description in RNAcentral is "bacterial SSU rRNA". It matches the Rfam family "Archaeal small subunit ribosomal RNA", at positions 1 to 922 of the family's 1478-position model. The record is from RNAcentral.
UCCGGUUGAUCCUGCCGGCGGUCACUGCUAUCGAGUUUCGACUAAGCCGUGCGAGUCACAGGCCGAAAGGUACUGGCGGACGGCUCAGUAACACGCGGAUAAUCUACCCUCAGGUGGGGUAUACCCUUGGGAAACUGAGGCUAAUCCCCCAUAGGUCCUGUAAACUGGAAUGUUUUAGGACUGAAAGUCACGGCGCCUGAGGAUGAGUCUGCGGCCUAUCAGGUAGUAGGUGGGGUAAAGGCCCACAUAGCCUAUGACGGGUACGGGCCCUGAGAGGGGUAGCCCGGAGAUGGGUUCUGAGACACGAACCCAGGCCCUACGGGGCGCAGCAGGCGCGAAACCUUCGCAAUGCGCGCAAGCGCGACGAGGGGAACUCGAGUGCCAUUAUCCUUUUGGGUGAUAGCUUUUCUCGAUCCUAAAAAGAUCGGGGAAUAAAAGCUGGGUAAGACGGGUGCCAGCCGCCGCGGUAAUACCCGCAGCUCAAGUGGUGGCCACUAUUAUUGAGCCUAAAGCGUCCGUAGCCGGUCUUGUAAAUCUCUGGGUAAAUCCCAUCGCUCAACGGUGGGAAGACUGGAGAGACUGCAAGACUAGGGAUCGGGUGAGGUAAGAGGUACUCCUGGGGUAGGGGUAAAAUCCUGUAAUCCUGGGGGGACGACCGGUGGCGAAGGCGUCUUACUAGAACGACUCCGACGGUGAGGGACGAAGGCUAGGGGAGCAAACCGGAUUAGAUACCCGGGUAGUCCUAGCUGUAAACGCUGCCCACUUGGUGUUGCCCUUUCGUAGGGAAGGGGCAGUGCCGGAGCGAAGGUGUUAAGUGGGCCGCUUGGGGAGUAUGGUCGCAAGGCUGAAACUUAAAGGAAUUGGCGGGAGAGCACCGCAACGGGAGGAGCGUGCGGUUUAAUUGGAUUCAACGCCGGG